CGGAGUCCAAAAGAGGUAUUGAGCACUUACAGUUGCAACCGCAAGAUCACGCCUAUUGGCUAUUGGAAGUCCUAUUUCAACUUUUGGUUAUCCCGUAGCUUGCUCACUAAGCUUUGACUAUUUGAGCUAGCCUUUCCAUUAUACACAUAAUGAGAUAAAAAUAUUAAUGGUUGUCCUUGUGAUUCCCAUGAGGGGCUAUUCUUAAAAAGACCGAUUUCAACGCAGUCAAGUGCA
This 234-nucleotide long non-coding RNA is filed under the name Hordeum vulgare. RNAcentral's name for it is "long non-coding RNA (HVUL_LNC002543)". Lineage: Eukaryota; Viridiplantae; Streptophyta; Magnoliopsida; Poales; Poaceae. The record is from RNAcentral.